GACGAACGCUGGCGGCGUGCUUAACACAUGCAAGUCGAACGGUGAAGCGCCUUCCUUUUUGGUGGGUGUGGAUGAGUGGCGAACUGGUUAGUAACACGUUAGUAACCUUCCCCCUUCUGCUGGAUAACCGCAUGAAAGUGUUGCUAAUACGGGAUAUUCUGGGUCUGUCGCAUGAUGGGUCUGGGACAGUUAUUGUUUCGGUGGGGGAUGGACUCGCGGCCUAUCAGCUUGUUGGUGGGGUGAUGGCCUACCAAGGCGGUGACGGGUAGCCGGCCUGAGAGGGUGGACGGUCACAGUGGGACGAAGAGACGGAGCCGCCUACGACGGGCGGCAGUAGGGAAGAAUACUGAACAAUGGGAGGCAGGCUGAUGCAGCGACGCCGGGUGAGGGAUGGAGGCCGUAGGGUUGUGAACCUCUUUCGGGAGUGAAGAAGGGCUGCAUCGUUUGUGGGUGGGUUGACGGUAGCUGGAGAAGAAGCGACGGCUAACUACGUG
This 494-nucleotide ribosomal RNA is filed under the name uncultured bacterium. RNAcentral's name for it is "partial 16S ribosomal RNA". It matches the Rfam family "Bacterial small subunit ribosomal RNA", at positions 28 to 507 of the family's 1533-position model. The record is from RNAcentral.